UCCCCUGUAGCUCAAUUGGCAGAGCGUUCGGCUGUUAACCGAAGGGUUGAAGGUUCGAGUCCUUCCGGGGGAGC
RNAcentral lists this transfer RNA (74 nucleotides) under Mycobacterium shinjukuense. RNAcentral describes it as "tRNA-Asn". It matches the Rfam family "tRNA". From Rfam's summary of the family: Transfer RNA (tRNA) molecules are approximately 80 nucleotides in length. Their secondary structure includes four short double-helical elements and three loops (D, anti-codon, and T loops). Further hydrogen bonds mediate the characteristic L-shaped molecular structure. tRNAs have two regions of fundamental functional importance: the anti-codon, which is responsible for specific mRNA codon recognition, and the 3' end, to which the tRNAs corresponding amino acid is attached (by aminoacyl-tRNA synthetases). tRNAs cope with the degeneracy of the genetic code in two manners: having more than one tRNA (with a specific anti-codon) for a particular amino acid; and 'wobble' base-pairing, i.e. permitting non-standard base-pairing at the 3rd anti-codon position. The record is from RNAcentral. Lineage: Bacteria; Bacillati; Actinomycetota; Actinomycetes; Mycobacteriales; Mycobacteriaceae.